This 579-nucleotide ribosomal RNA is filed under the name Oidiodendron sp. CY253. RNAcentral describes it as "eukaryotic LSU rRNA". The stretch from base 223 to 376 matches the Rfam family "5.8S ribosomal RNA". Lineage: Eukaryota; Fungi; Ascomycota; Leotiomycetes; Myxotrichaceae. The record is from RNAcentral.
GGAAGUAAAAGUCGUAACAAGGUCUCCGUAGGUGAACCUGCGGAGGGAUCAUUACAGAGUUCUCGCCCUCGCGGGUAGAUCUCCCACCCUUUGUAAUCGCUACCGUGUUGCUUUGGCGGGCCGCCGGGCCCAGCCCGGCCGCCGGCUCCGGCUGGCGCGCGCCCGCCAGAGGCUCCGCAAACUCUGAAUGUCAGCGUCGUCCGAGCACUACACAAUAGUCAAAACUUUCAACAACGGAUCUCUUGGUUCUGGCAUCGAUGAAGAACGCAGCGAAAUGCGAUAAGUAAUGCGAAUUGCAGAAUUCAGUGAGUCAUCGAAUCUUUGAACGCACAUUGCGCCCCGUGGUAUUCCGCGGGGCAUGCCUGUUCGAGCGUCAUUUCAACCCUCAAGCUCUGCUUGGUGUUGGGCCCUGCCCCCGCGGCCGGCCCCAAAGACAGUGGCGGCGCCGCCCGGCUCUAAGCGUAGUACACCUCUCGCUCUAGCGCCUGGCGGCUGCCCGCCAGAACCCCCAACUCCUGUGGUUGACCUCGGAUCAGGUAGGGAUACCCGCUGAACUUAAGCAUAUCAAUAAGCGGAGGA